Molecule: long non-coding RNA, 798 nt
Organism: Mauremys mutica (yellowpond turtle)
Lineage: Eukaryota; Metazoa; Chordata; Testudines; Geoemydidae
Exons: 3
Source: RefSeq, a predicted model, not a curated record
CUCUUUUCUAGCCUUUUGGUGAGUCUCCCCAUUCUGUUCUUUGGAAACUUCUUCAAGCCAAAUUUUUAGAAAUUUGAAGUAGAAGAGACAGAAAGAGAGCUAAAGCCAAGUAUUGCAGCAGUCUACUACAGAGUUAGUCCUGGUUUCUGCAGCAUCUUGGAAAUUGAAAGUAUUUGGCACAGCUACCAGAUCAUGGCAUCUGGACCUGGCCAAGGCAUAGACUGGCCCUAACAUGAAAAGUAUCUGCCAGACCUGAGGAAAUCGUUUUGGAUAAAACCAGACCUGACCUGACUCAUCUGCUGAGCUGUUACUCAUCUGACUCCAGUGACAAUGCUCAUCACCGCACCUGUGAAACAUAAUCCUUGAGGAUUAUGUGCAGAAAUCAGAAAAAACAAGAGCAUCCCAAGAGGAAGAAGGUCCCACAUUGAAAUUAUGCUGGCAUAAAAAAUGUUAAGGAGAGAAAUCAGGUUUGCUUGGAGGUUGAAUGGAACCCCAGAGACACAGGCCAGAUGCAAAUGGCACAAUGGGUCAAAAGAGGUUGCAGUUAAAAUAGCCGAAUGUUGAUGAAGAGACUUGCCAAAAGCUGGAUUCUCAGAGGAAAAUGGAUGACACUGACUCAAAUCAAGAACAGAGUAAGACUUGUGAUCUAAAGGACACCAGUAUCCUAAAAAAAGGAGUUGUAGAGGCAUUAGAUGACUCUGUGUGUGAAUAUGCUGGUUGACUAUUAUGGCCAAGGCUGGCAUGUUCAUGUAGAAAGAUGAGGAUAGAACCAUUACAAAACACACCAUAUGCAUUAUU